RNAcentral lists this ribosomal RNA (298 nucleotides) under uncultured bacterium. RNAcentral describes it as "partial 16S ribosomal RNA". It matches the Rfam family "Bacterial small subunit ribosomal RNA", at positions 28 to 329 of the family's 1533-position model. The record is from RNAcentral.
GAUAAACGCUGGCGGCGUGCCUAACACAUGCAAGUCGAACGUCCUCUCUCGCAAGAGAGAGGGAGUGGCGGACGGGUGAGUAACACAUGGGUCACCUACCCUUAAGUGAGGAAUACCAGCGAGAAAUCGCCGACAAGACCGCAUAGGCUCUCUCUUUUGCAAGAGAGAGCAAAGCUUCGCAAGAGGCGCUUGAGGAUGGGCCUGUGGCCGAUUAGCUGGNGGUAGGGUAAUGGCUUACCAAGGCGACGAUCGGUAGCUGGUCUGAGAGGACGAUCAGCCACACUGGGAUUGAGAACGG